GUAUUUUGAAUUGUUUAUUCAUAAUAUGUUAUCAGACGAAUGUUGUUAAAGAUAUAGGUUGAUAUUUGUGAAGGGAAAGAGUUGCCUCUCUCCCAACAAACAUUGCACACAAGGUGGAUAUGGAUUUUUAAAGAGUGCCAUAAAACACUCAUUGUGAAUGAUCCUUCCGCAGGUUCACCUACGGAAA
Molecule: unclassified non-coding RNA, 187 nt
Filed under: uncultured fungus
Lineage: Eukaryota; Fungi
Description: sequence contains ITS1
Source: RNAcentral